Molecule: long non-coding RNA, 428 nt
Organism: Acanthopagrus latus (yellowfin seabream)
Lineage: Eukaryota; Metazoa; Chordata; Actinopteri; Spariformes; Sparidae
Exons: 3
Source: RefSeq, a predicted model, not a curated record
CUUCACACUGGAGUACACACAGUCAUUGUUGGUGGUUUUCCUCUGUCUUCUUGAUCUGUUGGGCAGGUUGACACUUAAAGCAGCAUAAUGGAGGUUCUCUGCAUCUCUGCGACUCUGAUUGUUAAAAUCAAUAUCACCUCUGGAUUUGUGGUCGACGGAGCCGAUAAUCUUGCUUGAGAUUCUGGUUGUGAAACACAGAUAUUGCUCUUUCAAUCAAAAGUGACUCUACGAACACAAGCCAUCAUAUACCAAUAGUACCAAGUUACCUGUUGACUGAUAACUGUUUCUCAUCUUCAUCUUGAACACUGAGAGAGCCAGUAGAACUACCAGGAUGGUGCUUGGUCCCGUCUCCAAACAAUAUGUGUCCACAUGAGGCAACAGCACAGUAGUAGAUCCCAGCAUGAGAAAGAUUCAGGCUCUUCAUUGGU